GCAGCAGGCGCGCAAAUUACCCACUCCCGGCACGGGGAGGUAGUGACGAAAAAUAACGAUACGGGACUCAUCCGAGGCCCCGUAAUCGGAAUGAGAACAUUCUAAACCCUUUAACGAGAAUCAAUUGGAGGGCAAGUCUGGUGCCAGCAGCCGCGGUAAUUCCAGCUCCAAUAGCGUAUAUUAAAGUUGUUGCGGUUAAAAAGCUCGUAGUCGAAAUUGUGUCUCGCGCCGCCGGUUCAUCGUUCGCGGUGCUAACUGGCGUGUCGCGAGACGUCCUGCCGGCGGGCUUAGCUCGCAAGAGCGGUCCAACUUAAUCCCGCCGCGGUGCUCUUUACUGAGUGUCGAGGUGGGCCGGCACGUUUACUUUGAACAAAUUAGAGUGCUUAAAGCAGGCUCAAACUUCGCUUGAAUAUUGCGUGCAUGGAAUAAUGAAAGAGGACCUCGGUUCUAUUUUGUUGGUUUUCAGAACCACGAGGUAAUGAUUAACAGGAACGGAUGGGGGCAUUCGUAUUGCGACGUUAGAGGUGAAAUUCUUGGAUCGUCGCAAGACGGACAGAAGCGAAAGCAUUUGCCAAAAACGUUUUCAUUGAUCAAGAACGAAAGUUAGAGGUUCGAAGGCGAUCAGAUACCGCCCUAGUUCUAACCAUAAACGAUGCCAGCUAGCGAUCCGCCGACGUUCCUCCGAUGACUCGGCGGGCAGCUUCCGGGAAACCAAAGCUUUUGGGUUCCGGGGGAAGUAUGGUUGCAAAGCUGAAACUUAAAGGAAUUGACGGAAGGGCACCACCAGGAGUGGAGCCUGCGGCUUAAUUUGACUCAACACGGGAAACCUCAUCAGGCCCGGACACCGGAAGGAUUGACAGAUUGAGAGCUCUUUCUUGAUUCGGUGGGUGGUGGUGCAUGGCCGU
This 905-nucleotide ribosomal RNA is filed under the name Chilocorus renipustulatus (kidney-spot ladybird beetle). RNAcentral's name for it is "SSU rRNA". It matches the Rfam family "Eukaryotic small subunit ribosomal RNA", at positions 425 to 1291 of the family's 1831-position model. Lineage: Eukaryota; Metazoa; Arthropoda; Insecta; Coleoptera; Coccinellidae. The record is from RNAcentral.